CUGCGCACAAAAUGGCCCGUGUGAAACACGCACUCUCGCCGCCACACACAUCACAGAUGUACCGCCGAGGGUUAUUCUGAAAGAAAUGAUUGUUGAUUCAUCUUCGCUGCCUCCUUCAAUUUUCUUUGGGCUCGUCUUCUCUCCCCGCAUGCCAAUCACGCUCGGUGCUUCACACGAUCAGGACGGGAAGUCGGCAUGUGCAGGCGCAUCCAUCCACGGCAACAUUCAAAACGCACGCCGCCUGAUCCCCGGAGCAGCAACGCACCGAAAACAACAACGCCACAACCCUUUACCCCCCCCCCUCCCCCACAUUGAAAUUGCCAACCGGCACGGUGGAGAGCAGAUUUCAGCAUCGCAGGCUGAUUCCACCAGCGAAGCAUCAAAACUUCGAAGCCGAAGGCUCUGCAUCCACAACAAACAGAGUCGAGUGCAGGAAACACAGAACCUGUCGUCUGCAGUCAGUGAAGCUCCGGUCCAGACUCCUGCACGAGGCCUCCUGCAGUAGCUUUGCUUACAGUGCCCCCUUCUGUCAUAUGAUACAACCAUAUAUACACAUUGACUCAUAUGCAUAUGUAUGUACACAGCACCAGUCAGUCAGGUGGGACACAUCUUCUCAUUGUGUCUCUCGACUGGUACUCUACAUCAUUUUUCUCUCUUCAAGUAUCUCAAUCGGUAUUUUGCAGGUUUUCACCUGACCUGACUAAAGUUGUGAGUGGCGCUUCGUUGCCCCCCCGCUCAUCUACCACAGUGGAAAAAUGUGGUGCUGCACAGGAAGCCAUGAGAUGCACUCGUGUGUAGGAGGUGCUGCUACGGUAGAAAAAGGGGGUAGCUCAGGAGUUUGGGUGCUUACUAC
Gasterosteus aculeatus aculeatus (three-spined stickleback) is the source of this 853-nucleotide long non-coding RNA. NCBI's taxonomy places the organism in Eukaryota, Metazoa, Chordata, Actinopteri, Perciformes, Gasterosteidae. The record is from Ensembl.